This 321-nucleotide ribosomal RNA is filed under the name Triticum aestivum (bread wheat). Its description in RNAcentral is "partial small subunit ribosomal RNA". Lineage: Eukaryota; Viridiplantae; Streptophyta; Magnoliopsida; Poales; Poaceae. The record is from RNAcentral.
AUGGCCUGCUGCUCCGCCUACAGGUCCGCGUUGCCAGCGUCCCCCACAUCCUCCUCCUCCUCCGGCUCAUCCUCCUCCUCCUCUUCGUCGUUGUCGUCGUCCUCCUCCAACUCCUCCUCCGGAUCCACUGCAUCCGAAGGUAGCCCCACGGUGAUCCGGGCUUCACGCCUUGCCCGGAUCUGCUCAAGGAGCUCCAGCCCGCGCUCCCGCAUUAGAAAUGGGUGGCUCCUCAACUGGCGGCAUGGGGGCAUGGCAACUAGGCGGACGGUGAGUGAAAAGUGGUGGCGGCGGCGGACAGACGGAGGAAAAUGUGGAUGGUAG